This 492-nucleotide ribosomal RNA is filed under the name uncultured bacterium. RNAcentral's name for it is "partial 16S ribosomal RNA". It matches the Rfam family "Bacterial small subunit ribosomal RNA", at positions 29 to 507 of the family's 1533-position model. The record is from RNAcentral.
AGUGAACGCUGGCGGUAGGCCUAACACAUGCAAGUCGAACGGCAGCACAGUAAGAGCUUGCUCUUACGGGUGGCGAGUGGCGGACGGGUGAGGAAUACAUCGGAAUCUACUUUUUCGUGGGGGAUAACGUAGGGAAACUUACGCUAAUACCGCAUACGACCUACGGUUGAAAGCAGGGGAUCUUCGGACCUUGCGCGAUUGAAUGAGCCGAUGUCGGAUUAGCUAGUUGGCGGGGUAAAGGCCCACCAAGGCGACGAUCCGUAGCUGGUCUGAGAGGAUGAUCAGCCACACUGGAACUGAGACACGGUCCAGACUCCUACGGGAGGCAGCAGUGGGGAAUAUUGGACAAUGGGCGCAAGCCUGCUCCGGCCAUACCGCGUGGGUGAAGAAGGCCUUCGGGUUGUAAAGCCCUUUUGUUGGGAAAGAAAAGCAGCAGGUUAAUACCCCGCUGUUCUGACGGUACCCAAAGAAUAAGCACCGGCUAACUUCGUG